RNAcentral lists this ribosomal RNA (557 nucleotides) under uncultured bacterium. Its description in RNAcentral is "partial 16S ribosomal RNA". It matches the Rfam family "Bacterial small subunit ribosomal RNA", at positions 355 to 902 of the family's 1533-position model. The record is from RNAcentral.
UGGGGAAUUUUGGACAAUGGGCGAAAGCCUGAUCCAGCAAUGCCGCGUGUGUGAAGAAGGCCUUCGGGUUGUAAAGCACUUUUGUCCGGAAAGAAAUCCUUGGGCUCUAAUACAGUCGGGGGAUGACGGUACCGGAAGAAUAAGCACCGGCUAACUACGUGCCAGCAGCCGCGGUAAUACGUAGGGUGCAAGCGUUAAUCGGAAUUACUGGGCGUAAAGCGUGCGCAGGCGGUUUGCUAAGACCGAUGUGAAAUCCCCGGGCUCAACCUGGGAACUGCAUUGGUGACUGGCAGGCUAGAGUAUGGCAGAGGGGGGUAGAAUUCCACGUGUAGCAGUGAAAUGCGUAGAGAUGUGGAGGAAUACCGAUGGCGAAGGCAGCCCCCUGGGCCAAUACUGACGCUCAUGCACGAAAGCGUGGGGAGCAAACAGGAUUAGAUACCCUGGUAGUCCAGCGCCCUAAAACGAUGUCAACUAGUUGUUGGGGAUUCAUUUCCUUAGUAACGUAGCUAACGCGUGAAGUUGACCGCCUGGGGAGUACGGUCGCAAGAUUAAAACUC